Molecule: signal recognition particle RNA, 295 nt
Filed under: Aotus nancymaae (Ma's night monkey)
Lineage: Eukaryota; Metazoa; Chordata; Mammalia; Primates; Aotidae
Description: Metazoan signal recognition particle RNA (ENSANAG00000008222.1)
Rfam family: Metazoan signal recognition particle RNA
About the family: The signal recognition particle (SRP) is a universally conserved ribonucleoprotein. It is involved in the co-translational targeting of proteins to membranes.
Source: RNAcentral
GCCGGUGUGGUGGUGCGUGCCUGUAGUCCCAGCUACUUCGGAGGCUGAGGUGGGAGGAUCGCUUGAGCCCAGGAGUUCUGGGCUGUAGUGCGCUAUGCUGGUUGGGUGUCUGCACUAAGUUCGGCAUCAAUAUGGUGACCUCUCAGGAGCAGGGGACCACCAGGCCUAAGGAGAGGUGAACAGGCCCAGGUAGGAAAUGGAGCAGGUCAAAACUCCUGUGCUGAUCAUUAAUGGGAUCGUGCCUGUGAAUAGCCACUGCACUCCAGCCCGGGCAACAUAGCGAGACCCAGUCUCU